Molecule: long non-coding RNA, 547 nt
Organism: Bradysia coprophila
Lineage: Eukaryota; Metazoa; Arthropoda; Insecta; Diptera; Sciaridae
Source: RefSeq, a predicted model, not a curated record
CGGCAAGAUCGUAAAGGUGACGCUUAGUAGAUUUGAAGAGUGAGCAUUUUUGUUCAAAUUUCUUACGUUGGAACGAAUUGAGUUGUAAUUAAAUCGAUGUAGUCAGUCAACCCAUCCAACAUAGUAAUUGUGAUACCCCGAUAUGUAUUAUAUUCAACGAAUCAACGAUACUCAACACUCGGCAGCAUGGUACCUCAUAUAACAGUAAAAAAUUGCUGGUCGGAGGGAUCAUAAAUCAACAGCCGCAAACCACACGGACUUUCGGGACCUUAGAGAAAGUAUGAUAACGUAUAUAAAUGAAUGAAUGGAAAGAGAAUCAUGAAACUGUGAAGUACCAAGUCUCCCUUAAACAACAUUACCAAAAACCAUACAUACCCAAUGCCUACAUAAUGUAUAAAUAUGGACAGUGGUACGUUAUUUCAGCGUAAAUAAAUGACUUGGUUUUUCGUUAAAUUGUAAACUUUUUCUCAUUUUAACUUUGUUUUUAAAAUAUUUUCAGCGCGAGAAAAUAUUUGAUAAAUUUUUGUUCCUCUAUAAUUUAUUUGAA